RNAcentral lists this unclassified non-coding RNA (240 nucleotides) under soil metagenome. RNAcentral describes it as "partial contains 5.8S ribosomal RNA, internal transcribed spacer 2, and large subunit ribosomal RNA". The record is from RNAcentral.
AACACUGUUAACCUGCGGUACCUGCGGAGGGAUCAUUAUAGUAUAUGGAAUCUCCAUUCUAUAAACCCACUCUGCGUAUCUUGUAACUGUUGCUUCCAUGGGACUCGGUUCCGCCACACCGGCUUCACGGCUGGUGAGCGCCCAUGGAAGGAGAAACAAAACUCUUCUUUGAAAUGUAGUCAGUCUGAACAAGUUUUUAUAAACGUUAAAACUUUCAACAAUGGAUCUCAGAUCGGAAGA